RNAcentral lists this ribosomal RNA (439 nucleotides) under uncultured bacterium. RNAcentral describes it as "bacterial SSU rRNA". It matches the Rfam family "Bacterial small subunit ribosomal RNA", at positions 30 to 507 of the family's 1533-position model. The record is from RNAcentral.
AUUGAACGCUGGCGGUAUGCUUAAGACAUGCAAGUCGAACGGUAACAGGUUAAGCUGACGAGUGGCGGACGAGUGAGUAACGCGUGGGAAUCUACCUUGUAGUGGGGGAUAAGCCAGGGAAACUUGGACUAAUACCGCAUACGCCCUAAGGGGGAAAGGCGCAAGUCGCUAUAAGAUGAGCCCGCGUCUGAUUAGGUAGUUGGUGGGUAAAGGCCUACCAAGCCGACGAUCAGUAGCUGGUCUGAGAGGAUGAUCAGCCACGUCGGGACUGAGACACGGCCCGGACUCCUACGGGAGGCAGCAGUCGGGAAUAUUGGACAAUGGGGGAAACCCUGAUCCAGCAAUACCGCGUGUGUGAAGAAGGCCUGCGGGUUGUAAAGCACUUUCAGUUGGGAAGAUAAUGACGUUACCAACAGAAGAAGCACCGGCUAACUCCGUG